GACGAACGCUGGCGGCGUGCCUAAUACAUGCAAGUAGAACGCUGAAGGAGGAGCUUGCUCUUCUGGAUGAGUUGCGAACGGGUGAGUAACGCGUAGGUAACCUGCCUGGUAGCGGGGGAUAACUAUUGGAAACGAUAGCUAAUACCGCAUAACAGUAGAUGUUGCAUGACAUUUACUUAAAAGGUGCAAUUGCCUCACUACCAGAUGGACCUGCGUUGUAUUAGCUAGUUGGUGGGGUAACGGCUCACCAAGGCGACGAUACAUAGCCGACCUGAGAGGGUGGUCGGCCACACUGGGACCGGGACACGGCCCAGACUCCUACGGGAGGCAGCAGUAGGGGAUCUUCGGCAAUGGACGGAAGUCUGACCGAGCAACGCCGCGUGAGGGAAGAAGGUUUUCGGAUCGUAAAGCUCUGUUGUAAGAGAAGAACGAGUGUGAGAGUGGAAAGUUCACACUGUGACGGUAUCUUACCAGAAAGGGACGGCUAACUACGUG
This 495-nucleotide ribosomal RNA is filed under the name uncultured bacterium. RNAcentral's name for it is "partial 16S ribosomal RNA". It matches the Rfam family "Bacterial small subunit ribosomal RNA", at positions 28 to 507 of the family's 1533-position model. The record is from RNAcentral.